RNAcentral lists this ribosomal RNA (291 nucleotides) under uncultured bacterium. RNAcentral describes it as "partial 16S ribosomal RNA". It matches the Rfam family "Bacterial small subunit ribosomal RNA", at positions 505 to 796 of the family's 1533-position model. The record is from RNAcentral.
GUGCAGCAGCCGCGGUCAUACGGAGGGGGUUAGCGUUGUUCGGAAUUACUGGGCGUAAAGCGCGCGUAGGCGGACUAUUAAGUCAGGGGUGAAAUCCCGGGGCUCAACCCCGGAACUGCCUUUGAUACUGGUAGUCUAGAGUUCGAGAGAGGUGAGUGGAACUCCGAGUGUAGAGGUGAAAUUCGUAGAUAUUCGGAAGAACACCAGUGGCGAAGGCGGCUCACUGGCUCGAUACUGACGCUGAGGUGCGAAAGUGUGGGGAGCAAACAGGAUUAGAAACCCGAGUAGUCC